Molecule: ribosomal RNA, 249 nt
Filed under: uncultured prokaryote
Description: partial 16S ribosomal RNA
Rfam family: Bacterial small subunit ribosomal RNA
Source: RNAcentral
UACGGAGGAUGCAAGCGUUAUCCGGAUUUAUUGGGUUUAAAGGGUGCGUAGGCGGAUAUGUAAGUCAGCGGUGAAACUCACAGGCUCAACCUGUGCCGUGCCGUUGAAACUGUGUAUCUGGAAUGCGGAUGCUGUGGGAGGAAUGUGUAGUGUAGCGGUGAAAUGCAUAGAUAUUACACAGAACACCGAUUGCGAAGGCAUCUCACAAAGCCGUUAUUGACGCUGAGGCACGAAAGUGUGCGGAUCAAA